AUUAACGCUNGCGGCAGGCUUACACAUGCAAGUCGAGCGGGGGAGAUUGCUUCGGUAAUUGACCUAGCGGCGGACGGGUGGGUAAUACUUAGGAAUCUGCCUAUUAAUGGGGGACAACAUCUCGAAAGGGAUGCUAAUACCGCAUACGCCCUACGGGGGAAAGCAGGGGAUCACUUGUGACCUUGCGUUAAUAGAUGAGCCUAAGUCGGAUUAGCUAGUUGGUGGGUAAAGGCCUACCAAGGCGACGAUCUGUAGCGGGUCUGAGAGGAUGAUCCGCCACACUGGGACUGAGACACGGCCCAGACUCCUACGGGAGGCAGCAGUGGGGAAUAUUGGACAAUGGGGGGAACCCUGAUCCAGCCAUGCCGCGUGUGUGAAGAAGGCCUUAUGGUUGUAAAGCACUUUAAGCGAGGAGGAGGCUCCUGUAGUUAAUACCUACAGAGAGUGGACGUUACUCGCAGAAUAAGCACCGGCUAACUCUGUGCCAGCAGCCGCGGUAAUACAGAGGGUGCGAGCGUUAAUCGGAUUUACUGGGCGUAAAGCGUGCGUAGGCGGCUUUUUAAGUCGGAUGUGAAAUCCCG
This 581-nucleotide ribosomal RNA is filed under the name uncultured bacterium. RNAcentral's name for it is "bacterial SSU rRNA". It matches the Rfam family "Bacterial small subunit ribosomal RNA", at positions 28 to 604 of the family's 1533-position model. The record is from RNAcentral.